UGAGUUUGAUUCUGGCUCAGGAUGAACGCUAGCGGCAGGCUUCAUACAUGCAAGUCGAGGGGCAGCAUAAAUUACUUGUAAUUUGAUGGCGACCGGCGAACGGGUGCGUAACGCGUAUGCAACUUACCUUUUACUAGAGAAUAGCCAAGAGAAAUUUUGAUUAAUGCUCUAUGUUCUUAUUUACUCGCAUGAGUAAAUAAGCAAAGCUCCGGCGGUAAAAGAUGGGCAUGCGUCCUAUUAGCUUGUAGGUGAGGUAAUGGCUCACCUAAGCUCCGAUAGGUAGGGGUCCUGAGAGGGAGAUCCCCCGCACUGGUACUGAGACACGGACCAGACUUCUACGGAAGGCAGCAGUAAGGAAUAUUGGACAAUGGAGGCAACUCUGAUCCAGCCAUGCCGCGUGAAGGAAGACNGCCUUAUGGGUUGUAAACUUCUUUUAUACAGGAAGAAACCUUUCCACGUGUGGAAAGCUGACGGUACUGUAAGAAUAAGGAUCGGCUAACUCCGUGCCAGCAGCCGCGGUAAUACGGAGGAUCCAAGCGUUAUCCGGAAUUAUUGGGUUUAAAGGGU
RNAcentral lists this ribosomal RNA (567 nucleotides) under uncultured bacterium. Its description in RNAcentral is "bacterial SSU rRNA". It matches the Rfam family "Bacterial small subunit ribosomal RNA", at positions 1 to 568 of the family's 1533-position model. The record is from RNAcentral.